RNAcentral lists this ribosomal RNA (389 nucleotides) under uncultured microorganism. RNAcentral describes it as "bacterial SSU rRNA". It matches the Rfam family "Archaeal small subunit ribosomal RNA", at positions 330 to 720 of the family's 1478-position model. The record is from RNAcentral.
GUGCAGCAGUCGAGAAAACUUCACACUGUGCGAAAGCACGAUGAGGGAAUCCCAAGUGCUUGCACGUAAGUGUAAGCUGUUUCUCUGUCUAAAACGCAGAGAGAGUAAGGGCUGGGUAAGACGGGUGCCAGCCGCCGCGGUAACACCUGCAGCUCGAGUGGUGACCGUUAUUAUUGGGCCUAAAACGUCCGUAGCCGGUUUAAUAAAUGCCUGGGUAAAUCGGACCGCUUAACGGUUCGAAUUCCGGGUAGACUGUUAAACUUGAGACCGGGAGAAGUUAGAGGUACUCCUGGGGUAGAGGUGAAAUUCUGUAAUCCUAGGGGGACCACCAGUGGCGAAGGCGUCUAACUAGAACGGGUCUGACGGUGAGGGACGAAGCCCUGGGGCGC